UUAAAAAGGCGCUUUUUGCAAUAAAUUUUGGUAUUUUUAAGCUUUUGUAUUAAAUUUUCUAAGAAAUUGUGUAUUUUAGUUUGUUUUAUCUGUAUUAUUUUAAUUAUUUAACUUUUUUAAAACUACUGCCUUUGAGAUUUGGCGCCAUGAACAGUCAUCGCCUAAGUUUAAUGAAAGAACUGAAUGAUCAUUUGGCUGGUGAUUUACUUUUGUGUUUGGUUACAGAACUUUGUGGAGCUUCCGGUGCGAAUGAAAUUAAUUAGUUUGUAUUGUGUUUAAAAUUUAAACUUUAAAUGUUCAGAACUUACUGCACACAUGGAGCAUCAUUUCCAAACUAUACGCUCCUCAGCCUUUAAAGAUUUUUGUGCUCAACAAUUAUUACAAAAUGUUUGUUAUGUCUAUUAUUACGACUAUGUGGAGCAAUACAUAAUUUUCGUUAUUGAUUCAUUUUCAUUUUGUCUACGUCAAUUGGAUGAUGUAAACUAAGGAAUCGCAUAAAUUAUGAAAUUAUAAAUGAUUUGCAAACUUUGGCAAUGGAAUUUUAUGUGGCGUUUUAUGUAAAUCACAUACUUUACACCGAUAUGAUCUAAUUUUCUGUUAUGGAAAUAUCGAAAAGUCCUCUAAUGUACAAAAUAAGGAAUUUACUACUUUUGAAGCGAUGGUGAUGAUAUUAGAGAUUUUAAUGAUUAUAAUGUUGUUGUAAAUGUUUGACUUGUCUGGAAAAAGGCUUUUGGAUCGAAAAAGUCCAAUAAUGUACAAAAUAAAGAAUUGGCUAAAAUGUUAUUGAUAGUAAGGUAUCCGAGGUUCUAAAGGUUAUCUUGUUGUACUUACUUACUUACUUACUUACUCACUCGCUUACUUACUUUCUUACUUACUUACUUACUUACUUACUUACUUACUUACUUACUUCCUUACUU
RNAcentral lists this long non-coding RNA (917 nucleotides) under Lucilia cuprina (Australian sheep blowfly). Its description in RNAcentral is "uncharacterized LOC124419181, transcript variant X2". The record is from RNAcentral. Lineage: Eukaryota; Metazoa; Arthropoda; Insecta; Diptera; Calliphoridae.